GGGUCCUUGAUGAAAUCUUGGUCUUGUCUCUACCGAGGUGUUGCCUGAAAAGUCUUGCACAAUAGAGUUAUGCUGAAGCCC
Molecule: small nucleolar RNA, 81 nt
Organism: Carlito syrichta (Philippine tarsier)
Lineage: Eukaryota; Metazoa; Chordata; Mammalia; Primates; Tarsiidae
Gene: SNORD115
Rfam family: Small nucleolar RNA SNORD115
About the family: HBII-52 is a member of the C/D class of snoRNAs, which contain the C (UGAUGA) and D (CUGA) box motifs. HBII-52 is encoded in a tandemly repeated array with another C/D snoRNA, HBII-85, in the Prader-Willi syndrome (PWS) region of chromosome 15.
Source: Ensembl